CAUAUUACUAUAGUUCGCCGCCUCCUCCAAAGAAGUCUCCUCCACCUCCUUAUUAUUACAAGUCUCCACCGCCUCCAUCACCAUCACCACCGCCGCCUUAUUACUACAAGUCUCCUCCUCCUCCAUCACCAUCCCCUCCUCCUCCUUAUUACUAUAAAUCUCCACCACCACCAUCUCCUUCUCCUCCACCACCUUAUUAUUACAAGUCUCCACCACCACCCUCGCCAUCCCCUCCACCCCCAUACUACUAUAAAUCACCUCCGCCACCGUCUCCAUCGCCUCCUCCACCUUACUAUUACAAGUCACCACCACCACCGUCCCCUUCCCCACCCCCGCCGUACUACUCCACGUCACCACCGCCCCCCUCCACUUUCCACCACCAACCACCAUAUUAUUACAAGUCUCCACCGCCACCUUCACCUUCUCCUCCGCCACCAUACUACUAUAAAUCCCCACCACCACCAU
RNAcentral lists this long non-coding RNA (465 nucleotides) under Linum usitatissimum (flax). RNAcentral describes it as "long non-coding RNA (LUSI_LNC007763)". The record is from RNAcentral. Lineage: Eukaryota; Viridiplantae; Streptophyta; Magnoliopsida; Malpighiales; Linaceae.